UCAAGAUUAAGCCAUGCAUGUCUAAGUCCAAGCUGUGUUUACACGGCGAGACCGCGGACGGCUCAUUAAAUCAGUCGUUGUCCAAAUGGGCCAGUACCAAUUACUUGGAUAACUGUGGUAAUUCCAGAGCUAAUACAUGCAACUUAUACUCCGACGCGCGCUCUUCGGAGCCGCUGACGGGUGCUUUUAUUAGACCAAACUGCUGGGGCGUUUCCUUCGGGAUUCGCCUGAUUCGCUGUGUGGUGACUCUGGAUAACCUUUCUGACAAGCGCACGUACCUCCAUGCGGGGACGGCGCUGCCACUUUCGAGUGUCUGCCUUAUCAGCUGUCAACCGCUCGCUACACGCGACCGAUGGCUUUGACGGGUAACGGGGAAUCAGGGUUCGAUUCCGGAGAGGCAGCCUGAGAGACGGCUACCACGUCCAAGGAAGGAAGCAGGCA
This 441-nucleotide ribosomal RNA is filed under the name Phtisica marina. RNAcentral describes it as "bacterial SSU rRNA". It matches the Rfam family "Eukaryotic small subunit ribosomal RNA", at positions 40 to 434 of the family's 1831-position model. The record is from RNAcentral. Lineage: Eukaryota; Metazoa; Arthropoda; Malacostraca; Amphipoda; Caprellidae.